GUGAGGAAUAUUGGUCAAUGGGCGAGAGCCUGAACCAGCCAAGUCGCGUGAAGGAAGAAGGAUCUAUGGUUCGUAAACUUCUUUUGCAGGGGAAUAAAGUGCAGGACGUGUCCUGUUUUGUAUGUACCCUGAGAAUAAGGAUCGGCUAACUCCGUGCCAGCAGCCGCGGUAAUACGGAGGAUCCGAGCGUUAUCCGGAUUUAUUGGGUUUAAAGGGGGCGUAGGUGGUUUGAUAAGUCAGCGGUGAAAGUUUGCAGCUUAACUGUAAAAAUGCCGUUGAAACUGUCGGACUUGAGUGUAAAUGAGGUAGGCGGAAUGCGUGGUGUAGCGGUGAAAUGCAUAGAUAUCACGCAGAACUCCGAUUGCGAAGGCAGCUUACUAAGCUACAACUGACACUGAAGCACGAAAGCGUGGGGAUCAAACAGGAUUAGAAACCCUUGUAGUCC
This 445-nucleotide ribosomal RNA is filed under the name uncultured bacterium. Its description in RNAcentral is "partial 16S ribosomal RNA". It matches the Rfam family "Bacterial small subunit ribosomal RNA", at positions 354 to 796 of the family's 1533-position model. The record is from RNAcentral.